This 1701-nucleotide small RNA is filed under the name Pan troglodytes (chimpanzee). RNAcentral describes it as "retained intron". The record is from RNAcentral. Lineage: Eukaryota; Metazoa; Chordata; Mammalia; Primates; Hominidae.
GGGAGGGCAUGGCGGUGGCCGUGCCGGGCGCCAUCAUGGACGAGGACUACUACGGGAGCGCGGCCGAGUGGGGCGACGAGGCUGACGGCGGCCAGCAGGAGGAUGAUUCUGGAGAAGGAGAGGAUGAUGCGGAGGUUCAGCAAGAAUGCCUGCAUAAAUUUUCCACCCGGGAUUAUAUCAUGGAACCCUCCAUCUUCAACACUCUGAAGAGGUAUUUUCAGGCAGGAGGGUCUCCAGAGAAUGUUAUCCAGCUCUUAUCUGAAAACUACACCGCUGUGGCCCAGACUGUGAACCUGCUGGCCGAGUGGCUCAUUCAGACAGGUGUUGAGCCAGUGCAGGUUCAGGAAACUGUGGAAAAUCACUUGAAGAGUUUGCUGAUCAAACAUUUUGACCCCCGCAAAGCAGAUUCUAUUUUUACUGAAGAAGGAGAGACCCCAGCGUGGCUGGAACAGAUGAUUGCACAUACCACGUGGCGGGACCUUUUUUAUAAACUGGCUGAAGCCCAUCCAGACUGUUUGAUGCUGAACUUCACCGUUAAGGUAGGAAGAGUUCUAGAGUUAAGGAGAAAAGUGUUUAUGAAUGUUUAUUUUUGGUUGUUGGUCUGUUUCCUUUGACAGUUCAUAUUUGCUUUUUUUCCAUAAAGGUCUUUAUUGUUUUAUUUUCAUAAGCCUUACACUGAGAAAGAAAAGUGUAAAAUUUGUAUCUGUUUUUGGGUCAGUGUUGACUGUGUUUUAGGAUUUAGCAGGGACACAAGAAUUCUCUUGUGCUUGGAGAGGAGCUUUAGGUGUGCCUGCUUGAUCUUCCUCUUGCAUAUGAAGAAACGAUGGAGAGGUGGUCAGCGCAGGGCACACACCUAGGUGAUAGCAGGGUGAGGGCGGAGUGGAGGCCUGAGACCCACGACCAGCGCACACUUACUCCACCUCACCACGAACACUGACAAGCCAGCUUCCCGUGGAGGUGUGGUCACUGCAUGCCGCCCCUCUGACUUCUUGUUUUGUGUCCUAGCUUAUUUCUGACGCAGGGUACCAGGGGGAGAUCACCAGUGUGUCCACAGCAUGCCAGCAGCUAGAAGUGUUCUCGAGAGUGCUCCGGACCUCUCUAGCUACAAUUUUAGAUGGAGGAGAAGAAAACCUUGAAAAAAAUCUCCCUGAGUUUGCCAAGAUGGUGUGCCACGGGGAGCACACGUACCUGUUUGCCCAGGCCAUGAUGUCCGUGCUGGCCCAGGAGGAGCAGGGGGGCUCCGCUGUGCGCAGGAUCGCCCAGGAAGUGCAGCGCUUUGCCCAGGAGAAGUGAGAGGCCCUGUUUCUGCUCAACCCUUCCUUCCUAGUGCUCCCCACAAAACCCUUCCCAUGGCCCGUGUUCCACAGCCAAAGCUGCUAGCUCCUUCUGUUCAACGUAGAGGUAAACUUGCUUUUGGCUGGGCGUGGUGGCUCACGCCUGUAAUCCCAGCACUUUGGGAGGCCGAGGCGGAUGGAUCACCUAAGGUCAGGAGUUUGAGACCAGCUUGACCAACAUGGAGAAACCCCAUCUCUAGUAAACAAAAACACAAAAUUAGCCAGGUGUGGCGGCACAUACCUGUAAUCCCAGCUACUUGGGAGGCUGAGGCAGGAGAAUUGCUUGAACCUGGGAGGUGGAGGUUGUGGUCAGCCAAGAUUGCACCAUUGCACUCCAGCCUGGGCAACAAGAGCGAAACUCUGUCUC